RNAcentral lists this ribosomal RNA (1366 nucleotides) under Oides sp. NLG-2014. Its description in RNAcentral is "partial 16S ribosomal RNA". Lineage: Eukaryota; Metazoa; Arthropoda; Insecta; Coleoptera; Chrysomelidae. The record is from RNAcentral.
UUCUUAAAAUUUAAAUUUUUUGGCGGUAUUUUAUCUAUUCAAAGGAACCUGUUUUUAAAAUGAUAAUCCACGAUUAAAUUUACUUUUUUUAAAAAUUUUCAUAUCGUUGUAAUUAUAUAUUUUUAUAGAAUAAAAUAUAUAAAAAUUUUUAUUAAAAAAUUAUUCAAAUCAAGGUGUAGUUUAUAGAAAAGUUAAAAUGGGUUACAAUAUAUUUAUUUGAAGAUAUUAAAAGGUAGAUUUUAAUUGAAUAUGGAUUUGAAUGUAAUUUAAUUAAAUUAAUUUAUUUGAUUAAGCUCUAAAAUAUGUACAUAUUGCCCGUCGCUUUCAUAUUUUUGGAAUAAGUCGUAACAUAGUAGAUUUACUGGAAAGUGAAUCUAGAUUACAAAUUAUAGCUUAAAAAAGUUUUUUAUUUACAUUAAAGAGUUAAUUGUUAAUUCAAUUUAAUUUGAAAGUUAUAAAUUAUUAUUUUUAUAUUUAUUAUUAUUAUUUAAAUAAAAAUAUUUAAUUUUAUUAUUUUUUAAGAAAAAAUUAUUUUUAUUAUAGUGAAUUAGUAUUGUGAAAGAAUUUAUUUUUUAAUAGAAAGAAAAAUUUAUUUUUUGUACCUUGUGUAUCAGGGUUUAUCAAAAAUUUAAUUUAAAUUAAUUUUUCUCGAAUUUGAAAGAGCUAAUAAAUUAUAAUUUUUAUUAUAUAAUUAUUAUUUUAAAUUAUUUAUUAGUAAUAAAAUGUUAUUCGUUUUCUUAAAUAUCUAGUUUUUUAAGAAAUAAAUUUAAUUUAUUUAUUAAUUAAUAUAAUUUUAUUUAAAUAAUAUUAUAUUAGUAAUAAAAAAAAUUUUUAGGGAUUAGCUUGAAGAUUUAUUUUUAUUAGAAUUUAAAUAUUAAUAAAAAAUUAGGAUUAAAAAUUUUCAUAUUUUAAAAUAUGUUAUAAUUUAUUAUUUAUAUUUAAUAUUUAUAUAUUUCUAUAAUUUUUUUAUUAAAAUUUAAAUUAAAAUUUUAUAAAUUUAGUAAUUAUGAUAAAAUUAGUAUAUUUAAGUUUAUAAUAAUAUUUUAAUAUUUAAGAUUUUUUAAAGGAAUUCGGCAAAUAUUUUUUUCACCUGUUUAAUAAAAACAUGGUUUUUUGUUUUAUAUUUAAGAUUUUACCUGCCCACUGAAAAUUUAAUUGAAUGGCCGCAGUAUUUUAACUGUGCUAAGGUAGCAUAAUCAUUAGUUUUUUAAUUGAAAACUGGAAUGAAAGGUGGGAUGAAAAAAAUUCUGUCUCUAUAAAAUUUAAUAAAAUUUUAUUUUUUAGUUAAAAAGCUAAAAUAAUUUUAAUAGACGAGAAGACCCUAUAGAAUUUUAUAUUAUUAAUAAUUUAUAUUUUUAGUAUUUUA